RNAcentral lists this ribosomal RNA (253 nucleotides) under uncultured bacterium. RNAcentral describes it as "partial 16S ribosomal RNA". It matches the Rfam family "Bacterial small subunit ribosomal RNA", at positions 524 to 776 of the family's 1533-position model. The record is from RNAcentral.
UACAGAGGUGCCAAGCGUUAGGCGGAAUCACUGGGCUUAAAGCGCGUGUAGGCGGGUCGUUAAGUGUCUUGUGAAAUCCCACGGCUCAACCGUGGAACUGCUGGGCAUACUGACGAUCUUGAGGCACUCAGGGGCUGUCGGAACAAAUGGUGGAGCGGUGAAAUGCGUAGAUAUCAGUUGGAACGCCAACGGUGAAAACAGACAGCUGGGGGUGUCCUGACGCUGAGACGCGAAAGCCAGGGGAGCGAACGGG